RNAcentral lists this ribosomal RNA (253 nucleotides) under uncultured bacterium. RNAcentral's name for it is "partial 16S ribosomal RNA". It matches the Rfam family "Bacterial small subunit ribosomal RNA", at positions 524 to 776 of the family's 1533-position model. The record is from RNAcentral.
UACAGAGGAGGCAAGCGUUGUUCGGAAUCACUGGGCUUAAAGCGCGUGUAGGCGGCGCGAUAAGUGUUCUGUGAAAUCCCACGGCUCACCCGUGGAACUGCAGGGCAUACUGUCGUGCUUGAGGCAGGUAGGGGCCACUGGAACUCUCGGUGGAACGGUGAAAUGUGUAGAUAUCGAGAGGAACGCCCGAGGCGAAAGCGGGUGGCUGGGCCUGUCCUGACGCUGAGACGCGAAAGCGUGGGGAGCGAUCCGG